RNAcentral lists this ribosomal RNA (245 nucleotides) under uncultured bacterium. RNAcentral describes it as "partial 16S ribosomal RNA". It matches the Rfam family "Bacterial small subunit ribosomal RNA", at positions 524 to 768 of the family's 1533-position model. The record is from RNAcentral.
UACGUAGGUGGCAAGCGUUAUCCGGAAUUAUUGGGUGUAAAGGGUGUGUAGGCGGGACUUUAAGUCAGACGUGAAAAUCAAGGGCUCAACCCUUGACCUGCGUUUGAAACUGGAGUUCUUGAGAGUGGGAGAGGUAAACGGAAUUCCUGGUGUAGCGGUGAAAUGCGUAGAUAUCAGGAGGAACACCGGUGGCGAAGGCGGUUUACUGGACCACAACUGACGCUGAGACACGAAAGCGUGGGGAG